Molecule: long non-coding RNA, 782 nt
Organism: Hermetia illucens (black soldier fly)
Lineage: Eukaryota; Metazoa; Arthropoda; Insecta; Diptera; Stratiomyidae
Exons: 2
Source: RefSeq, a predicted model, not a curated record
CUCUGUACAUUCGAAUUUCCAGCCAUCGGCCGCGGUCGAUUCAUAACAACUUGCCUUACCCCGAUAUCUUUUCUAUUGUUGGCGAAGCAACUACGAGAUACUGAUAAGAUAUUUAUCUUCAAGUUAGACUGUCGAAAUUAGAGUAAGUCGCGGUGUGCUCGCAAUCUUUAUAAGAAGGCGAUAAAUUAGUGGAGGCCAUUCAAUCUUUAGAUUUCAAUCGAUAAAGACAUCAGGAACAAUGCGUCUACAGGUUCUAUUUAUCCUUCUUCUGUGCUUCCUGCAGAUCUAUGCAGGCGUUAUCAAAAAGCACGAUGAGCCCGGUACCAAGAAGGCUCCUCGCCGGACGAAUAAAAAGUUUUCUGGAUUUGUAGCUUCACGAGGAUAGUAGUGGAUUUUAGUGUUGAUGACAGUGUGUGUUCCCAGCAAGGAUUCGUGUUCUUAGACAGGAUCGUGAACAAUGCAACGUUGGAUCUCAGUGAAGCAACUUUAGUAUUUCUGCAAGGAUGACUAUGAAACCCAAGGGACUAUCUCAUGAAAGAUCCUUUCAUAAUAUAUUUCCAUAGAAUCUGUGAUAUAUUGUUUAGUUAAUUAUUUAUUGUCGGUGAUAAGUGAGAAAAGCAUGGACCAUUUAAUAUAUUCCAAUCAGCGUGAAACAGCAGUUUCCGUUGAGCUCAAUAAGAAUUUAAUUUAUUAACUAUUUAUUUGUAUGUUAUGCGAUAGAAGGACAUGAACAAUUGUGAAAGUAUUAUUUAUCGAAAUAAAUCAUAAAAUAGUUUGCCAUA